Molecule: ribosomal RNA, 468 nt
Filed under: uncultured bacterium
Lineage: Bacteria
Description: partial 16S ribosomal RNA
Rfam family: Bacterial small subunit ribosomal RNA
Source: RNAcentral
GACAAACGCUGGCGGCGUGCUUAACACAUGCAAGUCGAACGGAAAGGCCCUGCUUUUGUGGGGUGCUCGAGUGGCGAACGGGUGAGUAACACGUGAGUAACCUGCCCUUGACUUUGGGAUAACUUCAGGAAACUGGGGCUAAUACCGGAUAGGAGCUCCUGCUGCAUGGUGGGGGUUGGAAAGUUUCGGCGGUUGGGGAUGGACUGGCGGCUUAUCAGCUUGUUGGUGGGGUAGUGGCUUACCAAGGCUUUGACGGGUAGCCGGCCUGAGAGGGUGACCGGCCACAUUGGGACUGAGAUACGGCCCAGACUCCUACGGGAGGCAGCAGUGGGGAAUAUUGCACAAUGGGCGGAAGCCUGAUGCAGCAACGCCGCGUGCGGGAUGACGGCCUUCGGGUUGUAAACCGCUUUCGCCUGUGACGAAGCGUGAGUGACGGUAAUGGGUAAAGAAGCACCGGCUAACUACGUG